Molecule: ribosomal RNA, 456 nt
Filed under: uncultured bacterium
Lineage: Bacteria
Description: bacterial SSU rRNA
Rfam family: Bacterial small subunit ribosomal RNA
Source: RNAcentral
GAUGAACGCUGGCGGCGUGCUUAACACAUGCAAGUCGAACGGGAUCGGCUGGAGCUUGCUCCGGCCGUGAGAGUGGCGAACGGGUGAGUAAUGCGUGACCGACCUGCCCCAUACACCGGAAUAGCUCCUGGAAACGGGUGGUAAUGCCGGAUGCUCCAGUUGGAUGCAUGUCCUUCUGGGAAAGAUUCAUCGGUAUGGGAUGGGGUCGCGUCCUAUCAGGUAGUCGGCGGGGUAACGGCCCACCGAGCCUUACGACGGGUAGCCGGCCUGAGAGGGCGACCGGCCACAUUGGGACUGAGAUACGGCCCAGACUCCUACGGGAGGCAGCAGUGGGGAAUAUUGCACAAUGGGCGCAAGCCUGAUGCAGCGACGCCGCGUGCGGGAUGACGGCCUUCGGGUUGUAAACCGCUUUUGACUGGGAGCAAGCCCUUCGGGGUGAGUGUACCUUUCGAAUAA